UUAGAUGAAGAAGAGAAAAAAACAUGCAUUUGUUGGAGAACUAUUGGGCGUUUUUAUGGAGUUCACAACCAUGAAUAACCUAAUACUUUGGAGGGACAUGCAUUUGUUGGGCGUUUAGAUGAAGAAGAGAAAAAAGAUGUUCAUGACUUAACAAAAUAUGAUGUUGCACCGAGGCACAUAUUACUCUUAUUGCAAGACCGAGGUAAGAACAAUGUUACUAAGAACUCACAAUUUUAUAAACACAGGAGUAUGAUUCGAUUGCAUGUGAGAGGUCAUAAGACAGAGAUGCAACAUUUAUUCAAGUUAAUUGAAGAUAUAAAAUAUGUGUAUUGGAAUAGAAAACAGGAAGAUUCAUAUGUUAUGAGAGAUAUUUUUUGGGCCUAUCCAGAUUCAAUGAAGUUGUUGAAUUUGUUUCCUAUUGUGUUGAUUAUGGACAACACCUACAAAACCAAUAAAUAUAGAAUGCCAUUAUUUGAAAUUGUUGGUAUGAAAUCAACAUAGAUGACAUUUGUAGUUGAAUUUGCUUAUUUGGAAUGUGAGAAGAAAGAAAACUUGGUUGACUGCUAAUAAGCAGAGGUUUGUCGAAGCAUGGAUAAAUCGAGUGAUGCAUUUGAGAAACACAACGACUAACAGGUAUGUCAUGUCACUCUAAAACUUCAAUUUUGUAAUUUUACUAUAUAUAGUUGGAUUGCUCCAAGGUGACAAUUUACAUGUAAUGAUAGGGUUGAGCAAGCUCAUUGGAAACAAAAGUUAAUGUUGGAACACAACAUGAGUGAUAUGUGUAAAUGUUAGGAGGCUAUAAACAACAUGAUAAGGUUGCAACAUAAAAAAAUUAGGGGAUCAUUUCAGAAAAGUUUCUAUGAUCAAGAGCAUCAACACAUCAAUCUAUUUUAUUAGAGAUUGAAUACAUUUGCAUCAAGAGAAGCUCAAAGACGUAAUGUUGUAGAAUACGAGAAGGUUGAGUGGGUACCGAACAAUAUGUAUAUGGGUGCUCUCUCAAAAGAACAUCUAAGUUACUUUGUGCUUGUUAAUUGACACAAUAUAAAUCGAUGGGUGAACCAAUUCCUCUAGUUUUUGUGCAUAUUCAAUGGAGGAAAUUAAGCGUGGAAUAUGAACUCACCCAAGACACAUAAGAUGGAUCAAAGUUAGAUAUGUCUAAUGAGAUGAAUGCUUCGUGGAAACACUUUCGAUCACUUGAUGUUAUAGGAAAAAUAGUGUUGAAGAGUAAGGUGCGUGAACUUGCUUUUCCUACUACAAGUUCAAUGUAUCCACCACUUGAAAAAGUUAAAACCAAAGGACGAGUGAAGAAGAGUACGUGUAUGAAGCUAGAUGAACAUGAUGUAUAUCGAGACCCUUCUUACUUUGAGCAUGUUAAUGUAACAUAUUGUGAAUAUCCUAUUCCCAACCAUCUCAAUCAUCAAAGAAGAGACAUUCUCUCAACCAUCUCAACCAUCUCAAUGAUCAAAGAAGAGACAUUCUCUUUCCUCGAUACAUUUGUUCUUGAGACAAUUUCCUGAUGUUAUUCAACCAUACAUUGAUGACAUAUUUAAUGUGAUAGUAGAUGGAAAUUGUGGCUAUCGCGCUAUUGCAUCGUUGCUUAGACACAAUGAGGAGUCUUGAUCUUUGGUCUACCAUAGUUUGGACCAAGAGAUUGCUUCUCAUAUAAGUCUAUAUGAUAGACUUUUCCCAGGACGCAUUAGAGAAGUAAGAGAUUCGUUGAAGAUAACAAGCUUAGGUGUUCAACCUAUAGAUAAAUGAACGUCCAUACCUGAUAUGAGUUACGUGAUAGAGAUAACAUAUAAUAUUAUUCUCGUCACGUUUGGUCAAUACUUUUCUAUGACUUUCUUUCCUAUGAGGGGUUCACAUUCAAGAUCGACAAAAAAUGAUCGUAUCAUAUGUAUUGGUUUAUCGAUGCAAGUAACUGGAUUCUGUUAAAGAUGAAAGAUGAAUUUCCAAUAUCAAACAUUGUACCAGGUUGGAUGCAUUGCACCGAUGAAGCAAGUUCUUUGGCUAUAACAUAUACAAGACGGCUGCAACACUGAGUGUAUUUAUUAGGUCAUUUGCCACGUGUGACACAAAAUCCACUUAAAGAACCCGUAGACGCCACACCAUUAGAUGAAGAUUAAUUUUGUAUAGACUACAAUACUUUAAAACUUAUAUAAGAAUUUUUGUUAUUCGUUUAUUUUA
Cicer arietinum (chickpea) is the source of this 2187-nucleotide non-coding RNA. NCBI's taxonomy places the organism in Eukaryota, Viridiplantae, Streptophyta, Magnoliopsida, Fabales, Fabaceae. The record is from RefSeq and is a predicted model, not a curated record.